UACGUAGGUGACCAGCGUUGUCCGGAUUUAUUGGGCGUAAAGCGCGUGUAGGCGGCCAGGUAGGUCCGCUGUGAAAACCCGAGGCUCAACCUCGGGACGUCGGCGGAAACCAUCUGGCUAGAGUCCGGAAGAGGAGAGUGGAAUUCCCGGUGUAGCGGUGAAAUGCGCAGAUAUCGGGAAGAACACCCGUGGCGAAGGCGGCUCUCUGGGACGGUACUGACGCUGAGACGCGAAAGCGUGGGGAGCGAACAGG
RNAcentral lists this ribosomal RNA (253 nucleotides) under uncultured bacterium. Its description in RNAcentral is "partial 16S ribosomal RNA". It matches the Rfam family "Bacterial small subunit ribosomal RNA", at positions 524 to 776 of the family's 1533-position model. The record is from RNAcentral.